This 76-nucleotide transfer RNA is filed under the name Moorella sp. E308F. RNAcentral's name for it is "tRNA-Lys". It matches the Rfam family "tRNA". Rfam says of the family: Transfer RNA (tRNA) molecules are approximately 80 nucleotides in length. Their secondary structure includes four short double-helical elements and three loops (D, anti-codon, and T loops). The record is from RNAcentral. Lineage: Bacteria; Bacillati; Bacillota; Clostridia; Neomoorellales; Neomoorellaceae. RNAcentral also lists the same sequence under 2 other names.
GAGCCAUUAGCUCAGUAGGUAGAGCACCUGACUUUUAAUCAGGGUGUCCGGGGUUCGACUCCCCGAUGGCUCACCA